RNAcentral lists this long non-coding RNA (375 nucleotides) under Vitis vinifera (wine grape). Its description in RNAcentral is "long non-coding RNA (VVIN_LNC004953)". The record is from RNAcentral. Lineage: Eukaryota; Viridiplantae; Streptophyta; Magnoliopsida; Vitales; Vitaceae.
UUUAAAACAUUCCCGAAUGAGGCAAUGCGCCAGCAACCUUCAAGCAAUAAGACGAAUCCACAAACAGCAAGAAAAAUAGGGGUGAAAAGUUCAAAACAGGAAGUGUAUAUAAAAAAACAAUAGGUUCGAAUCCUACCUGAACUGCGAAAAUGAGGGUAAAAUAGAUUUUCCGAUCCUUCUCGGUUUGCUCCUUCCUCUCUAAGCUCGCCCUCCCUUCCUGAUUCCUCAACCUUUCCUUUUCUUUUUUCUUUUUUUUUUUCUGGCCGCAGGUGCUAUCUUCCCAGGCAAGCCAUUACCUCCCUUUGUUGUUGCUCACAUCAGCAGCAUGGCUUCCCUGUCUCUUGCAGCUGGUCCCAUGCAUGGAGAAGGGUCCCC